CGCCACUGCUACAUAACCCGCGAACAGGCAUACUCUGGGAACGAGAUUGGUGCAAGACAUACAACAAGGCAACGCUGACUCAUAUUAGAUAUAACAUAUUGAAAGUAACAAUACAUGUAACCCUCAAUUUUCUUCAUGAAUUAUUGCUAGCCAUAGCAACAGGCUAUACUAUGCAAAUUUUCAAUGAUUUGCAUUUUGCAUUAUUCAAACCUUUAGAAAUGUAUUGUCCGUAACUUAUUUAGACGCAGGUUUAUUAGCAUAGCAUGACCAGUUGCCAUGGCUAGCUUCCCCACUGUGACAUUUAUCUAGGAACAAGAAAAUUAUGCUACAUCUCAUAAUUUAUUAUUAAUUAAGUAGAAAAGUACAAUGUUCAGAUGCUAUAAUGAUGUAUGUGGUCUACGAUAAUGAUUGCUAGUACGAAUGUGUAUAUCUUUUAGCGGAAGCUUAAUAAUCUUCAAACGUUUUUGUUCUCAUACAACCAGUUCGUCUAGGUUUAAAGCAGACGAGGACUGAUCC
Molecule: non-coding RNA, 516 nt
Organism: Paramuricea clavata
Lineage: Eukaryota; Metazoa; Cnidaria; Anthozoa; Malacalcyonacea; Plexauridae
Source: the annotation of a GenBank genome assembly